GGAUUUUCAACAGCUUCAGCAACAUUCUCAGUUGCUUUCUCUAAAAGCACACCUUGCAGGGACUUCAGUGACUCCCUUGCAUCAGGUGUAAAAUAUGGAUUCAAUACUCAAAAUAUUCAAGCUCAAGCAUGAGCUGACAGAAACCAUUUGCAUCAAGUGACCUAAGAUCUUUGCUUUUGUUUUCAUGGAAAAGGCUCAGAAAAGUAUCAAUUAGACCUUCCACAAGAAUGCC
Molecule: unclassified non-coding RNA, 232 nt
Filed under: Hevea brasiliensis (rubber tree)
Lineage: Eukaryota; Viridiplantae; Streptophyta; Magnoliopsida; Malpighiales; Euphorbiaceae
Source: RNAcentral